Molecule: ribosomal RNA, 943 nt
Filed under: Candolleomyces candolleanus
Lineage: Eukaryota; Fungi; Basidiomycota; Agaricomycetes; Agaricales; Psathyrellaceae
Description: LSU rRNA
Rfam family: Eukaryotic large subunit ribosomal RNA
Source: RNAcentral
GCAUAUCAAUAAGCGGAGGAAAAGAAACUAACAAGGAUUCCCCUAGUAACUGCGAGUGAAGCGGGAAAAGCUCAAAUUUAAAAUCUGGUGGUCUCUGGCCAUCCGAGUUGUAAUCUAGAGAAGUGUUACCCGCGUCGGACCGUGUAUAAGUCUCCUGGAAUGGAGCGUCAUAGAGGGUGAGAAUCCCGUCUUUGACACGGACUACCGAGGCUUUGUGGUAUGCUCUCAAAGAGUCGAGUUGUUUGGGAAUGCAGCUCAAAAUGGGUGGUAAAUUCCAUCUAAAGCUAAAUAUUGGCGAGAGACCGAUAGCGAACAAGUACCGUGAGGGAAAGAUGAAAAGAACUUUGGAAAGAGAGUUAAACAGUACGUGAAAUUGCUGAAAGGGAAACGCUUGAAGUCAGUCGCGUUGGCCGGGAAUCAGCCUUGCUUUUGCUUGGUGUACUUUCUGGUUGACGGGCCAGCAUCAGUUUUGACCGGUGGAAAAAGUUCAGGGGAAUGUGGCAUCUUCGGGUGUGUUAUAGCCCUUGUUCGUAUACAUCGGUUGGGACUGAGGAACUCAGCACGCCGCAAGGCCGGGUCUUUGACCACGUUCGUGCUUAGGAUGCUGGCAUAAUGGCUUUAAUCGACCCGUCUUGAAACACGGACCAAGGAGUCUAACAUGCCUGCGAGUGUUUGGGUGGAAAACCCGAGCGCGUAAUGAAAGUGAAAGUUGAGAUCCUUGUCAUGGGGAGCAUCGACGCCCGGACCUGACGUUUUCUGACGGCCCUGCGGUAGAGCAUGUAUGUUGGGACCCGAAAGAUGGUGAACUAUGCCUGAAUAGGGUGAAGCCAGAGGAAACUCUGGUGGAGGCUCGUAGCGAUUCUGACGUGCAAAUCGAUCGUCAAAUUUGGGUAUAGGGGGCGAAAGACUAAUCGAACCAUCUAGUAGCUGGUUCCUGCCGAUU